CCUACGGGAGGCUGCAGUGGGGAAUAUUGGACAAUGGGCGAAAGCCUGAUCCAGCCAUGCCGCGUGUGUGAAGAAGGCCUUCGGGUUGUAAAGCACUUUCAGUGGGGAAGAAAGCCUUGGGGCUAAUACCCUCGAGGAAGGACAUCACCCACAGAAGAAGCACCGGCUAACUCCGUGCCAGCAGCCGCGGUAAUACGGAGGGUGCGAGCGUUAAUCGGAAUUACUGGGCGUAAAGCGCGCGUAGGCGGUCUGAUAAGCCGGUUGUGAAAGCCCCGGGCGCAACCUGGGAACGGCAUCCGGAACUGUCAGGCUAGAGUGCAGGAGAGGAAGGUAGAAUUCCCGGUGUAGCGGUGAAAUGCGUAGAGAUCGGGAGGAAUACCAGUGGCGAAGGCGGCCUUCUGGACUGACACUGACGCUGAGGUGCGAAAGCGUGGGUAGCAAACAGGAUUAGAUACCCUAGUAGUC
This 465-nucleotide ribosomal RNA is filed under the name Vreelandella stevensii. Its description in RNAcentral is "partial 16S ribosomal RNA". It matches the Rfam family "Bacterial small subunit ribosomal RNA", at positions 338 to 795 of the family's 1533-position model. Lineage: Bacteria; Pseudomonadati; Pseudomonadota; Gammaproteobacteria; Oceanospirillales; Halomonadaceae. The record is from RNAcentral.